CCUACGGGUGGCAGCAGUGAGGAAUAUUGGUCAAUGGGCGCGAGCCUGAACCAGCCAAGUCGCGUGAGGGAGGACGGCCCUACGGGUUGUAAACCUCUUUUGCCGGGGAGCAACGAGCGUCACGUGUGGCGCCACUGAGAGUACCCGGAGAAAAAGCAUCGGCUAACUCCGUGCCAGCAGCCGCGGUAAUACGGAGGAUACGGGCGUUAUCCGGAUUGAUGGGGGUUAAAGGAUGCGUAUGCGGAUCGUUAAGUCAGUGGGAAAAUUGAGGGCCUAAACCCCUUCCCGCCAUUGAAACUGGCGCUCUUGAGUGGAAGAGAAGUAUGCGGAAUGCGUGGUGUAGCGGUGAAAUGCAUAGAUAUCACGCAGAACCCCGAUUGCGAAGGCAGCAUGCCGGCCUCCGACUGACGCUGAAGCACGAAAGCGUGGGGAUCGAACAGGAUUAGAUACCCUUGUAGUC
This 460-nucleotide ribosomal RNA is filed under the name uncultured bacterium. RNAcentral describes it as "partial 16S ribosomal RNA". It matches the Rfam family "Bacterial small subunit ribosomal RNA", at positions 338 to 795 of the family's 1533-position model. The record is from RNAcentral.